This 949-nucleotide long non-coding RNA is filed under the name Olea europaea subsp. europaea. The record is from RNAcentral. Lineage: Eukaryota; Viridiplantae; Streptophyta; Magnoliopsida; Lamiales; Oleaceae.
AGGCAACAAGUAGUGGCGCCAAUAGCGCAAAGCCUGGACCACCGCAUACAGUUCCUUAUCAUACGUUGAGUAUCGUCGUUUGGCCUCAUUUAACUUUUCGCUGAAAUAGGCGACAGGGUGACGAUCCUGACUUAAGACUCCGCCUAUACCUACCCCAGAAGCAUCACAUUCAACUUCAAAGACUUUGGAAAAAUCGGGAAGACGCAUGACAAGAGCUUCUGUCAUUCGCUCCUUGACUAACUUAAAGGCCUUCGCCGCCCCUCGUGUCCAAUGAAACUCCCCUUUCUUCAUGCACUCCGUGAUAGGCGCCAUAAUAGUGCUAAACCCUUUAAUAAAACGGCGGUAAAACGUAGCUAAGCCGUGAAAGCUCCGGACAUCAUGAAUGACCUUAGGCUCAGGCCAGUCAAUUAUCGCCUGAAUCUUAGUAGGGUCAGCAGACACCCCUGUCGACGAGACAAUGAACCCCAGAAAAACUACGCUAUCGGUAAAAAAGGAACAUUUCUUGACAUUAGCAUACAGGUUAGUCUCGCGAAGGGUAGAGCAAACUUGUUUGAGGUGGUCACGGUGUUGCUCCUUAGUUUUACUAUAGAUGAGGAUGUCAUCAAAGUAGACAACGAGAAAUUUACCCAUGAACGGCCGAAGAGUUUGUGUCAUUACCCCCAAAGCCGGCUGGUUCACUAGAAGCGAAGAAAAGCGUGGAACAAAAGGGGUUGCAUAUCAUUAGUCCUACAGAGUUUGAGCGUACAAUUGUUGGUGACUCAAUUGUGUUCGCCUUAGUAGUCAUGGAGGUUUCAUCUCACUCCACAAGUGAGGAUACUGCGGAAGUCCAAUCGAUCCUUCAGGAGUUUCGAGAUGUCUUUCCGGAGAACCUACCUGAUCAUCUACCUCCGCUAAGAGAUAUUCAACAUGCCAUAGAUUUCGUCCCCGGCGCUUCCCUUCCAAAUUUGCU